RNAcentral lists this ribosomal RNA (854 nucleotides) under Trochulus montanus. RNAcentral describes it as "partial large subunit ribosomal RNA". Lineage: Eukaryota; Metazoa; Mollusca; Gastropoda; Stylommatophora; Hygromiidae. The record is from RNAcentral.
GUUAUCUAUAAUAAUAAACAAUUUUAUCUCACGAAAUCAUGUGAGCUAUAUACUUAAUAAUAUUAGAAAUAACCAUUAGUGUAGCAGCACUAAAAAUAAUAUAAGUAUUUAGGAGUGAAAGGCUUUACAAAUAUGACGAUAUCUUGAUGACAUCUGGAAAAAUAUAUAGUAUAAAAUAAAUUAAAAAUGUUAAGGUUUUUAAUUAACAUAAUUUAGUUAGUACCUUUUGUUGUGUACUUAAUAGUUACAGCUCUUGAUAAUUUAAUAUUAAUAAACUGAAGAAUAUGUAAAAUACUUGUCGCGUAAAUUUAAUUACUAAUAUACUUUAAAAUGAUAAUAUUAGUAUUAGUUAAAACUAAAAUAAGGAAUUCAGCAACUUUUUUUCUCGACUGUUUAACAAAAACAUUGCUCUAUGUAAUUAUUUAGGGUUAAACCUGCUCAAUGAUUAUUUAAAUAGCCGCAGUACAUUGACUGUGCAAAGGUAGCAUAAUCAAUUGGCUUAUAAUUGAAGUCUAGUAUGAAUGGGAUCCCGGGGAAUAACUGUCUUAAUUAAGUAUAUAGAAAUUACUUAGUGAGUGAAAAAUCUCACAUAUAGAAGAAAGACGAGAAGACCCUAGAAAUUUUUUAAAGUAUAUAUUUUUAUAUUCUAUUUUGUUGGGGCGACAUAGUAACAGUUAACUUACUAAUUUAACAUGCUAUUUAUUAGUAGAAAGAAUAAAUUACUCUAGGGAUAACAGCAUAAUUCAAUUUGAGUUUGUGACCUCGAUGUUGGACUAGGAAAUAAAUUAUUUAGAAGAUAAUUUAAUAGGCUCUGUUCGAGCCAUACUUUCCUACAUGAUCUGAGUUCAGACCGG